AUGGCGGCCCCCAGAGACUGGCUGGGAGCAGUGGAGGAAGAGAACUCGGGUCGUCAGGGGAGCUCGGGAGUGGAGGUGGUUUUUCCUUCCGACCCUGCCACACCUGCCCCGCUGUGCCCUCACGGACCCACGCUUCUGUUUGUAAAGGUGAACCAAGGGAAAGAAGAAACACGGAGGUUUUAUGCCUGCUCAGCCUGUAGAGAUAGAAAAGACUGUAAUUUUUUUCAAUGGGAAGAUGAAAAGUUGUCAGAAGCUAGACUUGCUGCCCGAGAAGCUCAUAACCGAAGGUGUCAGCCUCCUCUUUCCCGAACGCAGUGUGCAGAAAGGUACCUGAAGUUUAUAGAGUUGCCCUUGCCUCAGAGAAAGUUCUGUCAAAGAUGCCAGCAGUUGCUACUGCCAGACGACUGGGAGAAGCACCGUGAGCAUCGGGUGGUGGGCGACAUCUCCGUCGGCCAGCUCAGAAGGCCCAGCCUGCUUCUCUAUCCGUUGGAGAAUAAGAAGACCAAUGCUCAGUAUCUGUUUGCGGAGCGCACCUGCCACUUCUUGGUGGACCUGCUUUCUACCCUCGGCUUCACAAGAGUCCUGUGCGUAGGAACACCCAGGUUGCAUGAGCUGAUCAGGUUGAAAGCGUCAGGUGACCAGAAGUCUAACAUUAAAAGCCUUUUAUUGGAUAUUGAUUUUCGGUAUUCGCAGUUUUAUAUGGAAGACAGCUUUUGCCAUUAUAACAUGUUCAACCAUCACUUCUUUGACGGGAAGGCUGCCCUUGAAGUAUGCAGAACAUUUUUACAGGAAGAUAAAGGUGAGGGAGUCAUUAUGGUGACAGACCCUCCUUUCGGUGGCUUGGUUGAACCUCUGGCUGUUACAUUCAAGAAGUUAAUUGCUAUGUGGAAAGAAGGUCAAAGCCAAGAUAGCAGUCACAAAGAGCUCCCUGUAUUCUGGAUUUUCCCCUAUUUUUUUGAAUCCCGAAUUCGUCAGUUUUUUCCAAGCUUCUGCAUGCUGGAUUACCAGGUAGAUUAUGAUAAUCAUGCACUUUAUAAACAUGGAAAGACAGGCCGAAAACAGUCUCCUGUGCGUAUUUUCACCAAUAUUCCACCCAACAAAAUAAUCCUUCCUAGUGAAGAAGGGUACAGAUUUUGCCCUUUAUGUCAACGAUAUGUUUCCCUAGAGAAUCAACACUGUGAGCACUGUAAUUCUUGCACAUCCAAGGAUGGCAGGAAAUGGAACCAUUGCUUCCUCUGCAAAAAGUGUGUAAAACCUUCCUGGACCCACUGUAGCAUGUGUGGUCGCUGUGCUCUUCCAGACCAUUCCUGCGGGGCCCCUAAAGAUGGCUGCUUUAUUUGUGGUGAAUUAGAUCAUAAACGUAGUUCUUGUCCUAAGAUCGCUGCAUCUAGGAGAGUGGACAAAGCUGUCAGAAAGCAGAAGCAAAGAAAAAGUAAUAAGAUGAAAAUGGAGGCCACUAAAGAACAAUCCAUGAAUCACACAUCUGUUACAAGGAGGAAGAAAAGGAGAGAAAGAGCCCAUCAAUAUCUCUGCUCUUAAAUGUCCAGUGACUUGAGAAUAAGAAAGAUUUAUAGUCCAACCUUUGAUGCCAUUUUCUGAAAGUGCCACACCGGACUUAAAUUCUGUCGCUUUCAGAGAUCAACUUUUUUGGACUUAACUUCCCCGGAACAGAUUAGAAGCUUUGCUGGUGGCAGUGGCCUGCGGACACCACGGUGUGCAUUCACUGGCUCCAUCCCAGCGCUGUGCCCCACACCCAGCGAUGUCAGAGACAACCAGCUGCUGCACGUGUGACAAAGCCUCCCCACACCCCUGGGAAGCGAGCAGCCAGGCUACACAUUUCCUCCCCCACCAAGUGGUAGCUGCUCAUGAAUACGGAUUGAGCGACUGGAAAUGCCAUGUAAUACACUUACUGCUUGGUGCCUCAGAACCCUAACUGAGCUACUUGAGCAAGACACUAAUACGCCUAGAGCUGCCUAGGUAAGGAAAGCUUGCACAAAAUGCAAAGAAAAUCCAAUUUCACCUAUUUGAUGCAAUUCUGAUUGGAACAUUAGGACAUGGGAUCAGUUACUCAAGGGUCAGCUAAGAAGGUCAUUGCAAUAAACUGAAGAUAAGAUCUCUACAAUUUGAUUUCAGGUGACUCAGUAUAAAUGUUCACUCAGCACGACUGAGGGGGGAAAGCACCCAAAGUGAGCAAGCAGAUCUCGGAGCUCCGCGGGGGGAGUUUCAUCCCGUUCGCGACAGUAACAAGAUUCUCACACGCUUUAGCCGCUUCAUAGCACUGCAGACUAGAAGCAUCACAUCUGGUGGGCUCUAAGAAGACUAAGCCUGAGAAGACGGACCAGUUUCUUCGCCUGUGACUGUAGGGGUGAGGAGUAGGGGAAGCCAGGGAAAUCAGACAACAUUUUAUAUGCUUCACGAAGACAAAAAGAGACAAAGGGCUUGCCUGUUAGCUUUACAGCUAAUACAUGAGCCAGGUAAAUCCAAGAAAUUGAAAAGAAGCAUCUCCAAUCCUGCCACCCAGAGACAACUACUGCCACGACGUCUGUGUCUGUUCUUCCAAAGAUAGAUUUUUGUAUAAAUAGCUACACAGACAGACUAAAGUUUCCCCCACGAAAAUGGGAGUUGGGAAUACACACUAUUUUUGUAAUCCUC
Hyaena hyaena (striped hyena) is the source of this 2652-nucleotide RNA transcript. It is a transcript of the gene named zinc finger CCHC-type containing 4, with no coding region annotated. The transcript is spliced from 14 exons. The record is from RefSeq and is a predicted model, not a curated record. Lineage: Eukaryota; Metazoa; Chordata; Mammalia; Carnivora; Hyaenidae.